GGACACCUGACCUCAGUACCCCCUGCAGCGCAAGGAGGAAUACGUCAGGAGUGGCUCCAAGACCAAGUAUUGACUGAGGACCUACUGUGUAGCUGGGAAAAAGCAGGGAGCAGGACACACUGAGCCCCUACCCUCAGGAGUUCUAACAGGAGACGGACUAUACACACCUCAGCAAACACCCAGACAAGCUACUGCCUAGUGGAGAUUCCACUCAUGGGCCAGAACAUUUUAUGCUGAAAUUGUCUCAUACCUGUUCACAAGUGAUUUGAGCCCAUCUCCUCCAAAUGGACACUAAAAUCAGCCAAGGUGGGAAUAUUUACAGCAUGGGAAUCAGCAAAUUCUAAAAAACAGGAAUCUUUAUUUCCAGAGAGCUAGUUACUAAACUUUUACCACGUACCACUGCAUCACCAGACCCUUAAAAGCUGUUUGAAAAAAGAUUAACAAACUCACACCAAUGUAUAGUUGACAAUAAAAUUUAAUACUUCUGUGUGCCAAACACAUACCUAUUA
Molecule: long non-coding RNA, 509 nt
Organism: Symphalangus syndactylus (siamang)
Lineage: Eukaryota; Metazoa; Chordata; Mammalia; Primates; Hylobatidae
Source: RefSeq, a predicted model, not a curated record